UGUAUUAAACCAGAUUUUAAUUCAAAAGGAACCGAAACAUCAGAAUAUUCAAUACAAAAGUCAUUAUAAUUAACAUCAGGAGCAGCAAACUGCCUUAAUGUUCUUUGAUCAUCCAUGUAAUAAUAAAAAAAAACACAGAAAUACCAAUUAUGUCCAAAUAGACAAAAACAAAUAGAAAGAAGAAACGAUUAAAAUAAAUUCAGAAAAAUACAAUAAUAUUAUUAUAACUUGUUUAGUUAAGUUUGACCCAUUGUUUU
This 257-nucleotide long non-coding RNA is filed under the name Lathyrus oleraceus (garden pea). Its description in RNAcentral is "Pisum sativum (pea) long non-coding RNA (PSAT_LNC001967)". The record is from RNAcentral. Lineage: Eukaryota; Viridiplantae; Streptophyta; Magnoliopsida; Fabales; Fabaceae.